This 1519-nucleotide ribosomal RNA is filed under the name Sphenodon punctatus (tuatara). RNAcentral describes it as "16S ribosomal RNA". It matches the Rfam family "Bacterial large subunit ribosomal RNA", at positions 424 to 2925 of the family's 2925-position model. The record is from RNAcentral. Lineage: Eukaryota; Metazoa; Chordata; Lepidosauria; Sphenodontia; Sphenodontidae.
ACUAGCCCGCUACCCAGAUAAUCUAAAACCAAUUCACUAACCCAAACAUUUUUACGAGCUAAGUAUAGGAGAUAGAAAAGAACCCCAGGAGCUAUAGAGACAGUACCGCAAGGGAAAGUUUAANAUACCAAGUUAAAUAAAGCAAAGAUAGACCCUUGUACCUUUUGAAUAAUGGUUUAACUAGUCCAAACAAGCUAAAAGAGCUAAGCUUUUUACCCCGAAAUCAAGUGAGCUACUUAUAAGCGUACAGAAAUAAUUCGGCUCUGUGGCAAAAGAGCGAAAAGACUAAUAAGUAGAGGCGAAACACCUACCGAACAUGAAGAUAGCUGGUUACUUAUUAAANNAAUCUAAGUUCUACCUUAACUCACCCAACCCUCCUUAAACAAAGAGAAAUGAAAGAUUUAAGAGAUAUUUAAUAGGGGUACAGCCCUAUUAAAAUAGGAAACAGCCUAUACAAGAGGAAAGAGAAUUACACCAAACCGUAGCCUUAAAGCAGCCACCAAAAUAUAAAGCGUUAAAGCUAAUUAACACCAACACCAACCUUUUUAAUCCAACCCUAAACAACAAUAAGUCAUACUAUAAUAAUAUAACAGAAUUAAUGUUAAAAUGAGUAACAAGAAAAAGAUUUCUCCGUGCAUCCGCAUAAGCCAGACUAGACAACCUACUGGUCAUUACACAAUAAUUGAAUAUUACACAACGAACAAUAAUAUUAAUCUAACUGUUAACCCAACACAGGCAUGCACCUAGGAAAGAUUAAACUCACCAGAAGGAACUCGGCAACACCGGGCCCCGACUGUUUACCAAAAACAUAACCUUUAGCUAAUCAAGUAUUAAAGGCGCCUCCUGCCCAGUGAAAAUUAAACGGCCGCGGUAUUCUGACCGUGCAAAGGUAGCGUAAUCAAUUGUCUCCUAAAUGAAGACUAGUAUGAACGGAGAAACGAGGGCCCAACUGUCUCCUGGCGAAAAUCAGUGAAAUUGAUCCCCUUGUGCAAAAGCAAGGAUAAAACCAUAAGACGAUAAGACCCCGUGGAGNAUAAACAUCAGAGUCAAUUAUACAUGUUGAAUCCACCAGGAAUAAAAUCAAAAAAUGACCCCCUCUGUUUUGGCUGGGGCGGCCUCGGAAUAAAAAAAAACUUCCGAAAACCUCAUUUAGACCAACAAGUCAAAACAUAAAAUACUUGACCCAAUAUUAUUGAUUAUUGAACCAAGUUACCCCAGGGAUAACAGCGCCAUCCCCUUCGAGAGCCCAUAUCGACAAGGGAGAUUACGACCUCGAUGUUGGAUCAGGACAUCCUAGUGGUGCAACCGCUACUAAGGGUUCGUUUGUUCAACGAUUACAGUCCAUCGUGAUCUGAGUUCAGACCGGAGCAAUCCAGGUCGGUUUCUAUCUAUGACAUACUAUUUCCCAGUACGAAAGGAUCGAAACAGUAGGGCAUAACCGCAAGCAAGCCCUGCCCUUAAUUAAUGAAACAAAAUAAAUUAAUUAACUGGGAUCUCCCCCACGCCCUAAACCAGGGCU